RNAcentral lists this non-coding RNA (29 nucleotides) under Homo sapiens (human). The record is from RNAcentral. Lineage: Eukaryota; Metazoa; Chordata; Mammalia; Primates; Hominidae.
GCAAAGGGUAAGUGGUUUCAUUCAUUCAA